ACAGAUUCUGAUCCAGAAGAGUAAUUUUUCCUGUUGCUUCUUGAAGAAUGCAAUUAUCAUCAAGGUUCCAAGUGCCAUCAAUUGAGGAUGAGAAAUAGAAAGAAAAUACAUGGCAUAUAGUAUGUGACAUAAAUAGUUUACCUCAGAAUUAAAAGAAGGAAGAAGGAAAGAAGAAAGAAAACAAAGGGGAGAGAAAGGAAGACAUCUAUAUUUGAUUUAGAGCAUCAUUACCCUUCAUAAAGAAGCUGCAUAUGUACCAUUUCAUACAUAUAAUAGGAAUAAAUUAUCCAUUGGACUAAAUGGAAUAAGAUCCCUUCCAAAUAAGCUCCUAUUUCAUACAAGUUGAUCUGCAGAAGAAACAGACAACACCAAGGAUAAACAUAGCAACAG
This 390-nucleotide long non-coding RNA is filed under the name Monodelphis domestica (gray short-tailed opossum). Its description in RNAcentral is "lncRNA (ENSMODG00000051325.1)". The record is from RNAcentral. Lineage: Eukaryota; Metazoa; Chordata; Mammalia; Didelphimorphia; Didelphidae.